RNAcentral lists this ribosomal RNA (440 nucleotides) under uncultured bacterium. RNAcentral's name for it is "partial 16S ribosomal RNA". It matches the Rfam family "Bacterial small subunit ribosomal RNA", at positions 338 to 795 of the family's 1533-position model. The record is from RNAcentral.
CCUACGGGAGGCAGCAGUGGGGAAUAUUGCACAAUGGGGGGAACCCUGAUGCAGCAACGCCGCGUGGGUGAAGAAGUACUCCGGUAUGUAAAGCCCUGUCAGCAGGGAAGAAAAUGACGGUACCUGACCAAGAAGCCCCGGCUAACUACGUGCCAGCAGCCGCGGUAAUACGUAGGGGGCAAGCGUUAUCCGGAUUUACUGGGUGUAAAGGGAGCGUAGACGGCAAGGCAAGUCUGGAGUGAAAGCCCGGGGCCCAACCCCGGGACUGCUUUGGAAACUGUGUUGCUGGAGUGCAGGAGGGGUAAGCGGAAUUCCUAGUGUAGCGGUGAAAUGCGUAGAUAUUAGGAGGAACACCGGUGGCGAAGGCGGCUUACUGGACUGUAACUGACGUUGAGGCUCGAAGGCGUGGGGAGCAAACAGGAUUAGAUACCCUAGUAGUC